Molecule: ribosomal RNA, 1360 nt
Filed under: uncultured bacterium
Lineage: Bacteria
Description: bacterial SSU rRNA
Rfam family: Bacterial small subunit ribosomal RNA
Source: RNAcentral
AUUGAACGCUGGCGGCAGGCCUAACACAUGCAAGUCGAGCGGUAGCACAGAGAGCUUGCUCUCGGGUGACGAGCGGCGGACGGGUGAGUAAUGUCUGGGAAACUGCCUGAUGGAGGGGGAUAACUACUGGAAACGGUAGCUAAUACCGCAUAACGUCGCAAGACCAAAGUGGGGGACCUUCGGGCCUCAUGCCAUCAGAUGUGCCCAGAUGGGAUUAGCUAGUAGGUGGGGUAACGGCUCACCUAGGCGACGAUCCCUAGCUGGUCUGAGAGGAUGACCAGCCACACUGGAACUGAGACACGGUCCAGACUCCUACGGGAGGCAGCAGUGGGGAAUAUUGCACAAUGGGCGCAAGCCUGAUGCAGCCAUGCCGCGUGUGUGAAGAAGGCCUUCGGGUUGUAAAGCACUUUCAGCGGGGAGGAAGGCGGUGAGGUUAAUAACCUCACCGAUUGACGUUACCCGCAGAAGAAGCACCGGCUAACUCCGUGCCAGCAGCCGCGGUAAUACGGAGGGUGCAAGCGUUAAUCGGAAUUACUGGGCGUAAAGCGCACGCAGGCGGUCUGUCAGUCGGAUGUGAAAUCCCCGGGCUCAACCUGGGAACUGCAUUCGAAACUGGCAGGCUAGAGUCUUGUAGAGGGGGGUAGAAUUCCAGGUGUAGCGGUGAAAUGCGUAGAGAUCUGGAGGAAUACCGGUGGCGAAGGCGGCCCCCUGGACAAAGACUGACGCUCAGGUGCGAAAGCGUGGGGAGCAAACAGGAUUAGAUACCCUGGUAGUCCACGCUGUAAACGAUGUCGAUUUGGAGGUUGUGCCCUUGAGGCGUGGCUUCCGGAGCUAACGCGUUAAAUCGACCGCCUGGGGAGUACGGCCGCAAGGUUAAAACUCAAAUGAAUUGACGGGGGCCCGCACAAGCGGUGGAGCAUGUGGUUUAAUUCGAUGCAACGCGAAGAACCUUACCUGGUCUUGACAUCCACAGAACUUUCCAGAGAUGGAUUGGUGCCUUCGGGAACUGUGAGACAGGUGCUGCAUGGCUGUCGUCAGCUCGUGUUGUGAAAUGUUGGGUUAAGUCCCGCAACGAGCGCAACCCUUAUCCUUUGUUGCCAGCGGUUAGGCCGGGAACUCAAAGGAGACUGCCAGUGAUAAACUGGAGGAAGGUGGGGAUGACGUCAAGUCAUCAUGGCCCUUACGACCAGGGCUACACACGUGCUACAAUGGCAUAUACAAAGAGAAGCGACCUCGCGAGAGCAAGCGGACCUCAUAAAGUAUGUCGUAGUCCGGAUUGGAGUCUGCAACUCGACUCCAUGAAGUCGGAAUCGCUAGUAAUCGUAGAUCAGAAUGCUACGGUGAAUACGUUCCCGGGCCU